AAGAGCAGGUGUAGGUGGUUGCGGACUUGCGGUUGCAGGUCUGAGGAAAGUCCGGGCUCUCGAAAGACCAAACUUGCUGGGUAAUACCCAGUGCGGGUGACCGUGAGGAGAGUGCCACAGAAACAUACCGCCGAUGGAGGAUUUAGCUGUUUAAUCCCAGCUAAAUGCUAACAGGUAAGGGUGCAAAGGUGUGGUAAGAGCACACCAGCAACGUCGAGAGGCGUUGGCUCGGUAAACCCCAGUGGAGAGCAAGGCAAAGAGGGCAAAGGUUGGUCUUUUCCCUGUCCUCGUUUGAUGCGCCGCUAGAGGCGUCUGGUAACAGGCGUCCCAGAUAGAUAACUACCCUCUUUCUAUAAAUCAAGCUGAGCAGUGUAUUACUCUCGUUUGCAGAAGGAGAACAGAACCCGGCUUACGGCCUGCUCUUUUUU
Molecule: RNase P RNA, 428 nt
Filed under: Acaryochloris sp. CRU_2_0
Lineage: Bacteria; Bacillati; Cyanobacteriota; Cyanophyceae; Acaryochloridales; Acaryochloridaceae
Also listed under: 1 other name
Description: RNase P RNA component class A
Rfam family: Bacterial RNase P class A
About the family: Ribonuclease P (RNase P) is a ubiquitous endoribonuclease, found in archaea, bacteria and eukarya as well as chloroplasts and mitochondria. Its best characterised activity is the generation of mature 5'-ends of tRNAs by cleaving the 5'-leader elements of precursor-tRNAs. Cellular RNase Ps are ribonucleoproteins.
Source: RNAcentral